GCUCAGGACGAACGCUGGCGGCGUGCUUAACACAUGCAAGUCGAACGGAAAGGCCCUUCGGGGUACUCGAGUGGCGAACGGGUGAGUAACACGUGGGCAACCUGCCCCUAGCUCUGGGAUAACUCCGGGAAACCGGUGCUAAUACCGGAUACACACUUCUUGAGGCAUCUCAGGAAGUGGAAAGUUUUUCGGCUAGGGAUGGGCCCGCGGCCUAUCAGCUUGUUGGUGGGGUAAUGGCCUACCAAGGCGACGACGGGUAGCCGGCCUGAGAGGGCGACCGGCCACACUGGGACUGAGACACGGCCCAGACUCCUACGGGAGGCAGCAGUGGGGAAUAUUGCGCAAUGGGCGAAAGCCUGACGCAGCGACGCCGCGUGAGGGAUGACGGCCUUCGGGUUGUAAACCUCUUUCAGCUCUGACGAAGCGCAAGUGACGG
RNAcentral lists this ribosomal RNA (436 nucleotides) under Nakamurella sp. Its description in RNAcentral is "bacterial SSU rRNA". It matches the Rfam family "Bacterial small subunit ribosomal RNA", at positions 22 to 475 of the family's 1533-position model. Lineage: Bacteria; Bacillati; Actinomycetota; Actinomycetes; Nakamurellales; Nakamurellaceae. The record is from RNAcentral.